GCACUGGUGGUUCGGUGGUAGAAUUGUCACCUUCCAUGGGGAAAAUCUUGGUUUGAUUCCUAGCCAGUACA
RNAcentral lists this transfer RNA (71 nucleotides) under Loxodonta africana (African savanna elephant). It matches the Rfam family "tRNA". From Rfam's summary of the family: Transfer RNA (tRNA) molecules are approximately 80 nucleotides in length. Their secondary structure includes four short double-helical elements and three loops (D, anti-codon, and T loops). Lineage: Eukaryota; Metazoa; Chordata; Mammalia; Proboscidea; Elephantidae. The record is from Rfam by way of RNAcentral.